Molecule: ribosomal RNA, 446 nt
Filed under: uncultured bacterium
Lineage: Bacteria
Description: partial 16S ribosomal RNA
Rfam family: Bacterial small subunit ribosomal RNA
Source: RNAcentral
CCUACGGGAGGCAGCAGUCGAGAAUCAUUCACAAUGGGGGAAACCCUGAUGGUGCGACGCCGCGUGGGGGAAUGAAGGUCUUCGGAUUGUAAACCCCUGUCAUGUGGGAGCAAAUUAAAAAGAUAGUACCACAAGAGGAAGAGACGGCUAACUCUGUGCCAGCAGCCGCGGUAAUACAGAGGUCUCAAGCGUUGUUCGGAAUCACUGGGCGUAAAGCGUGCGUAGGCUGUUUCGUAGGUCGUGUGUGAAAGGCGCGGGCUCAACCCGCGGAAGGCACAUGAUACUGCGAGACUAGAGUAAUGGAGGGGGAACCGGAAUUCUCGGUGGAGCAGUGAAAUGCGGAGAUAUCGAGAGGAACACUCGUGGCGAAGGCGGGUUCCUGGACAUUAACUGACGCUGAGGCACGAAGGCCAGGGGAGCGAAAGGGAUUAGAUACCCUUGUAGUC